AACGAACGCUGGCGGCAUGCCUAACACAUGCAAGUCGAACGAGACCUUCGGGUCUAGUGGCGCAAGGGUGCGUAACGCGUGGGAACCUGCCCUUAGGUUCGGAAUAACUCCCCGAAAGGGGUGCUAAUACCGGAUAAUGUCUUCGGACCAAAGAUUUAUCGCCUUUGGAUGGGCCCGCGUUGGAUUAGCUAGUUGGUAGGGUAAAAGCCUACCAAGGCGACGAUCCAUAGCUGGUCUGAGAGGAUGAUCAGCCACACUGGGACUGAGACACGGCCCAGACUCCUACGGGAGGCAGCAGUGGGGAAUAAUGGACAAUGGGCGAAAGCCUGAUCCAGCAAUGCCGCGUGAGAGAUAAAGGCCUUAGGGUUGUAAAGCUCUUUUACCCGGGAUGAUAAUGACAGUACCGGGAGAAUAAGCUCCGGCUAACUCCGUG
This 433-nucleotide ribosomal RNA is filed under the name uncultured bacterium. Its description in RNAcentral is "partial 16S ribosomal RNA". It matches the Rfam family "Bacterial small subunit ribosomal RNA", at positions 29 to 507 of the family's 1533-position model. The record is from RNAcentral.